CGCGCAGGUGGUUUCUUAAGUCUGAUGUGAAAGCCCACGGCUCAACCGUGGAGGGUCAUUGGAAACUGGGAGACUUGAGUGCAGAAGAGGAAAGUGGAAUUCCAUGUGUAGCGGUGAAAUGCGUAGAUAUGUGGAGGAACACCAGUGGCGAAGGCGACUUUCUGGACUGUAACUGACGCUGAGGCGCGAAAGCGUGGGGAGCAAACAGGAUUAGAUACCCUGGUAGUCCACGCCGUAAACGAUGAGUGCUAAGUGUUAGAGGGUUUCCGCCCUUUAGUGCUGAAGUUAACGCAUUAAGCACUCCGCCUGGGGAGUACGGCCGCAAGGCUGAAACUUAAAAAUUGACGG
This 348-nucleotide ribosomal RNA is filed under the name uncultured Bacillus sp. RNAcentral describes it as "bacterial SSU rRNA". It matches the Rfam family "Bacterial small subunit ribosomal RNA", at positions 568 to 916 of the family's 1533-position model. The record is from RNAcentral. Lineage: Bacteria; Bacillati; Bacillota; Bacilli; Caryophanales; Bacillaceae.